AUUCCUACGGGAGGCAGCAGUGGGGAAUCUUGGACAAUGGGCGCAAGCCUGAUCCAGCCAUGCCGCGUGAGUGAUGAAGGCCUUAGGGUCGUAAAGCUCUUUCGCCAGGGAUGAUAAUGACAGUACCUGGUAAAGAAACCCCGGCUAACUCUGUGCCAGCAGCCGCGGUAAUACGGAGGGGGUUAGCGUUGUUCGGAAUUACUGGGCGUAAAGCGCGCGUAGGCGGAUCAGAAAGUUGGGGGUGAAAUCCCGGGGCUCAACCCCGGAACUGCCUCCAAAACUCCUGGUCUUGAGUUCGAGAGAGGUGAGUGGAAUUCCGAGUGUAGAGGUGAAAUUCGUAGAUAUUCGGAGGAACACCAGUGGCGAAGGCGGCUCACUGGCUCGAUACUGACGCUGAGGUGCGAAAGUGUGGGGAGCAAACAGGGUUAGAUACCCUGGUAGUCCACACCGUAAACGAUGAAUGCCAGUCGUCGGCAAGCAUGCUUGUCGGUGACACACCUAACGGAUUAAGCAUUCCGCCUGGGGAGUACGGUCGCAAGAUUAAAACUCAAAUGAAUUGACGGAAU
Molecule: ribosomal RNA, 566 nt
Filed under: uncultured bacterium
Lineage: Bacteria
Description: bacterial SSU rRNA
Rfam family: Bacterial small subunit ribosomal RNA
Source: RNAcentral